This is a long non-coding RNA of Globicephala melas (long-finned pilot whale), 1602 nucleotides long. RefSeq lists it as uncharacterized. The record is from RefSeq and is a predicted model, not a curated record. NCBI's taxonomy places the organism in Eukaryota, Metazoa, Chordata, Mammalia, Artiodactyla, Delphinidae.
GACUGACGGGUAUCGAGGCCCGCCUCGAAAUCUCGAUGCUGGAGAGGGCUCUUGCGGUGGGCCUUUUACGUGUGUAGACGCUGGAGGUCCGCAGAAAGGAUACUGUGUCGGAGGAGGUAAAGCACAAGAGAGUGCUUUGUAACCGGGAAGUGCCUUUCAAAAGAGCUUACUUUUGGUUUGGUGGAAGAAGGACCCUGGAGCUUGUUGAUGCUGAAAAUGUUCAUCUCAGACGUCCUUGUCCUUGAGCCUGUUCUGUUGGGGAGAUGGCUGAGCACCUCCUGAUUUGCUCCUGCUACCUGGUAGAGACGGAACACCUGAUCAUGGGACAUCAAGUGACCAUGUGAAUAAUAAAACCACCCAUCAUGAACUGGUGUUAUCUGAUUCACCGAACCAUACAACUGGAUGAGCACAGAAGCAGUCUACUCCCUAUGAGACUGGGACAUGGCUACAAUUAAACUAAAUGAGCAGGUGACUCAGACUCCUAUAGUCCCUGACUCUACUCCUUCAGCACUUCCCCCCAAACCCAUAUAAAUUGGCUUCAUGAGGAGUUCUUUCUGACCAAUUAAUGGAAGAGAAAAAAGCAUGGGUCCUGUUUGUUCAUGGAAGAAUCUCAGUGAGCUGGCAAUAGCUGGAUGUGAGUGGUCACUACACACCACCAUCACUCAUUAGUGGCCCUGACCCAGAAUAGUAAAGGGAAAUCCUUCCAUAGGGAAGAAUUUUAGGAGACAUGGCCUGAGGUAAGGGUAUACACUGGUUUGUUGUCAGCAGCUUAUGAGUUGACUGGCUAGACAAAAACUUGGAGAGAACAAAUUGGAAAGCUGGUUCCAUUUAUGAGGCCAGCUGGGAUACAAUAACCUGCAAAUUGGGGAUGCUGACCUAAAGAAUUAAGUAUAUGCUUAAAAUCAGUAAUCAGUAUCUGGUGCCACCUUUCCCAAAAUGUAUGCAGAGUGGAGAUGAGAGUAGUCCCUCUAUUUUCAGUAUGACUAAUUUUGUAAAAAAACAAACAAACAACUGGUGGCAUGUUUUCCAAACUUGGUGAAAAGCAUAAAACUACAAAUCCACAAAAGCUCAGUAAAUCACAAGCAGAAAAAUUGCAAUGAAAGUCACACCUAUGCAUGUUACAGUCAAACUGAUAAAACUAAUUCAGAAAAACACUUAAAAGCAUCCAGAGAAAUUAUACAUUAUACACAAGAUGGCAGUUAUAUGAAUUUUUUUAAAAGGAUGCAUAACAUAUAGAAAAAUUCACAAAUAUAAUUGUUCAGCAUGACUUGCCACAAAGUGAAGAUAACUAUGUAAUCACCACCCACAUCAAUAACUAUGUCCCUUAGUCAUUGCUCUUCUUCCUUCCCAAAGGUAAUCAUCAUCCUGAAUUCUAACACCAAAGAUUAGGUUUGACAGUGGUUAACCUUUAUAUAAAUUGAAUACAUGACAGUGGUUAACUUUUAUAUAAAUUGAAUAAUGUAUUCUUUAGUGUCUGGCUUCUUUUAUUUAACGUGAGAUUCAUCCAUGUUGUUACCUGGAGCAGUUGUUCAUUCAUUUUCAUUGCUAUACAGUAUUCUACUUUAUAAAUAUACCACAUUUAUUUAUCCAUUUUACUGUUGA